AAGACUAUACUUUCAGGGAUCAUUUCUAUAGUUUGUUACUAGAGAAGUUUCUCUGAUCGUGUAGAGCACAGAAAGCCAUGAGGAGGAGGCGCAGUAUUCACUCCUGAGUGUGAAGCUGACACUUGAUGUUGCUUUCUUGCAAUUGUCAUUUGUCACUGAUAUCGUUCUUGCUUUCCUUUUAGGAAGUAACAGGGAGAGUAUGUAGUCUGAGUGGU
RNAcentral lists this small nucleolar RNA (215 nucleotides) under Carlito syrichta (Philippine tarsier). Its description in RNAcentral is "Small nucleolar RNA U3 (ENSTSYG00000020328.2)". It matches the Rfam family "Small nucleolar RNA U3". Rfam says of the family: Small nucleolar RNAs (snoRNAs) are involved in the processing and modification of rRNA in the nucleolus. The record is from Rfam by way of RNAcentral. Lineage: Eukaryota; Metazoa; Chordata; Mammalia; Primates; Tarsiidae.